This 460-nucleotide ribosomal RNA is filed under the name uncultured bacterium. RNAcentral describes it as "partial 16S ribosomal RNA". It matches the Rfam family "Bacterial small subunit ribosomal RNA", at positions 338 to 795 of the family's 1533-position model. The record is from RNAcentral.
CCUACGGGAGGCAGCAGUGAGGAAUAUUGGUCAAUGGACGAGAGUCUGAACCAGCCAAGUAGCGUGAAGGAUGACUGCCCUAUGGGUUGUAAACUUCUUUUAUAUGGGAAUAAAAUGUUCCACGUGUGGGAGUUUGUAUGUACCAUAUGAAUAAGGAUCGGCUAACUCCGUGCCAGCAGCCGCGGUAAUACGGAGGAUCCGAGCGUUAUCCGGAUUUAUUGGGUUUAAGGGGAGCGUAGGUGGAUUGUUAAGUCAGUUGUGAAAGUUUGCGGCUCAACCGUAAAAUUGCAGUUGAAACUGGCAGUCUUGAGUACAGUAGAGGUGGGCGGAAUUCGUGGUGUAGCGGUGAAAUGCUUAGAUAUCACGAAGAACUCCGAUUGCGAAGGCAGCUCACUGGACUGCAACUGACACUGAGGCUCGAAAGUGUGGGUAUCAAACAGGAUUAGAUACCCUAGUAGUC